GCCGACGUAGCUCAGCUGGCCAGAGCACCGCUCUCGUAAAGCGGGGGUCGGGGGUUCGAAUCCCCCCGUCGGCU
Molecule: transfer RNA, 74 nt
Filed under: Thermoleophilaceae bacterium
Lineage: Bacteria; Bacillati; Actinomycetota; Thermoleophilia; Thermoleophilales; Thermoleophilaceae
Also listed under: 1 other name
Description: tRNA-Thr
Rfam family: tRNA
About the family: Transfer RNA (tRNA) molecules are approximately 80 nucleotides in length. Their secondary structure includes four short double-helical elements and three loops (D, anti-codon, and T loops).
Source: RNAcentral